GAUGAAGAACGCAGCGAAAUGCGAUACGUAAUGUGAAUUGCAGAAUUCAGUGAAUCAUCGAGUCUUUGAACGCACAUUGCGCCCCCUGGUAUUACGGGGGGCAUGCCUGUCCGAGCGUCAUUGCUGCCCUCAAGCACGGCUUGUGUGUUGGGCCUCCGUCCUCCUCCCGGGGGACGGGCCCGAAAGGCAGCGGCGGCACCGCGUCCGGUCCUCGAGCGUAUGGGGCUUCGUCACCCGCUCUUGUAGGCCCGGCCGGCGCUUGCCGACACAUCAAUCUUUUUUCCAGGUUGACCUCGGAUCAGGUAGGGAUACCCGCUGAACUUAAGCAUAUCAAUAAGCGGAGGA
RNAcentral lists this unclassified non-coding RNA (345 nucleotides) under soil metagenome. RNAcentral describes it as "partial contains 5.8S ribosomal RNA, internal transcribed spacer 2, and large subunit ribosomal RNA". The stretch from base 1 to 120 matches the Rfam family "5.8S ribosomal RNA", at positions 35 to 154 of the family's 154-position model. The record is from RNAcentral.